This 379-nucleotide long non-coding RNA is filed under the name Mytilus galloprovincialis (Mediterranean mussel). The record is from RNAcentral. Lineage: Eukaryota; Metazoa; Mollusca; Bivalvia; Mytilida; Mytilidae.
CGGAGUGCCUGGAGAAAACCACUGACCUUGGAUAGGAAAACUGACAAUCCUAGUCAAUUAAGAUUGGAGUCAAGUGCAGUCGUAUGAGCAGGGUUCAAACUCACAACCUCAGUGUUGACUGGCUAGAUUACAGUUGUAACUAUUUAGACCACUCGGCCACUAAGGCCCCCCACCCUUUUUAAGAAUGUAAUUACAUUGUAAUAAAACAUGAAAGUCAAUUGUAUAUUUACAGAUUCUACUUAUGUAUCUUUCCAAUGGCAAAAUACCAAUAAAAAAAUUCUGGAUAAUAAAAAUACAAAAAAAGAUUCAAAGAGAGAUAACUCCAUUAAAUUUUUUUUGUAGCUAAUUUUUUAAAUGGAUACUGUGGCCAUUAAGUCCG